This is a long non-coding RNA of Toxorhynchites rutilus septentrionalis, 2541 nucleotides long. RefSeq lists it as uncharacterized. NCBI's taxonomy places the organism in Eukaryota, Metazoa, Arthropoda, Insecta, Diptera, Culicidae. The transcript is spliced from 3 exons. The record is from RefSeq and is a predicted model, not a curated record.
UUUUUUUUGACUCGAUUAUAUACUGGAUUCGAUUAUAUACAGUGAAAAGAAAUCAAAAACUGUAUAUAAUCGAGUCCGACCUGUAUAUAUAUGGAAUAUAAGCAAUAUGAGAUCAAUAUGAGCGAGCAAAACAAGAGGCACAUUGCAAAAAUCACGCAUCAAAGCUUUUCGCAUACUUUGACGCACACAUACGGCCCAGACAGAGAAGGAUUUGGAUUCACGUUUAUGCUCUUCUUUUUACUCUUAGAAAACACUUCCCAACUUCAUUUUAUAAUGAGGUGUAAUAUUAUCACGCAUUUAUACAACAACACCAGUAGCUAUGUGGAUAACGGGGAUCAGCCUUGAUUCGAUCCCAGUUCACAUCGUUUGUACUAUUUUUUUUUGGGUACAAUCCCAAGCUGACGUUCAGUCGGAGAGAAAGCUCUCAUACAAACAAACAUUUCAAAGCUUUUGAAAAUAUGCUUUCAUUUGUUCAUUUCACCCUUCAGCACACGAAAAAGCAUUUUUUUCCUGCCAAAGAUGAAAUGUUUUCUGCCAACGCUAGUUCGGGUGUAUCACGGUUUUAUUUAAUUCAGCUGUAGUGUGGCGUCCUACUUUCUCUUGUUCAGUCUAACGUACAAUGAAGCUGAAGUAUGCCUGUGUUAACGUCAAAAUAAAUAAAUACGUACAAAACACGCUCCAACUAUCGAAGACAUAUCCAUUUCGUCUAGCUAUGAGAACUUUCAGAUUAUUAAACAUGUCUUAAAGAACAAUCGUUACGUUAAAAAAAAAUGAUUUUCGAGUCAUGAGAGUCUUUCGAGUCAGAAAGUUGUGGACUAUAAAAUAUUAUGAAAAGUUGACCCAUGCUGUAAAAAAAUAGUUGAGAAAAUUUUUUUGACCAGAAACACAGAUUAUAUUUUGGCAACCCUAGUUCGUAAUAGGAGCAAUGGCAAAUAAAGCUCUAUGAAAAAUAUUCAAACUCUCAAUAUAUUCAAUAUUAGUAUCCAAUUUCGUUAAUCCGUACUUCGCGGAAACUGCUGUUUAACGAAAGCAAAGCGCGCAAUGAUCUAACACAACAAAACCACAUUUUGCCAUCGAAGCGCUGGAUGACGUUUCUGUUGUUUCUGUAUCUAUCACUGCUGCCAACAACAGAACGUCAUAAUGGGAGAGAACGUAUCCGAAUGACGACCCGGAGAAAGGACAAUGAAAACAUUAUGCUGGUCCGUCCCUUGAUUGAAUAUUUACUCGUAUACAUCUACUCACGGAUAGGCCCGGAGAAAAAGCUUCCAAUCAACAUGGAAAUUAUGUGCUGCGGGGCGUUAGCAAUUGCUGGGAUGAGUAACAAUAAACUUGGAAGUACAACUUGGUGGAUUGUGCUCCAUAUUGUGAGUUGGUUUUUUGAUAUGUGAUACAUUUGAAUGAUUAAAAGUUUGCAAUUAAGUACGUCUCGACUUUAAAUGUUUGCUCGAUAGCAUAAUCUAGCGGUUUUUCUUUAAAUCUUUGAAUGGGAAUUUUUAUUCAUUUGCAGAACAAAAUAUUUCAAAUUUUUGACAUAAAUGAAUCCAAAAAUGCAGUAGAAUGGAUAAUAUGUAACCGGUAGUUCCAAAAUAGAGCGUGUGACUCUGUCACACUUUUUUAUAGGACACUUGAAGGACGACCAAAAUCUAACUCUCCGCACGAUGUUCAGUUUCCCGCACCUUCUAGUCUCUCACUUCAUCACUCACUCUCGGCGUAUGACAGUUGCCGUUCACCCGAGAAGGGCUUCCAUGGAUCGGGUAGGGAUGAAGGCACUCGCGAGUAGGAUCCAACACAUAAAUACCGAAAAGCUCGGGGUUUCUAGAUUAAUAAGGCUGAUUGUCGACCUCUUGCUCGGCGUGUUAGGAGGAGUCAACGGAGUUCUAUCCUGACUACACUAGAGAGCAGUUAGUGCGCGCCGUGAUUAAAUUGGGUUGACGGUGAGGAAAAGAACCACUUUUGGACGGAUGAAAACUGUGUGUUAGUAGGUUUGAUAUUCGCUUUAAAACUAUCUCAAAGUGUGCAACGUACAGUCACACUUUAUGUGAGAAAAAGGUCCAACAAAGGGCCUUUUUCUUUGUAUUACACACAGUUAUUCGCCAGGAUCAAAGACGCCAUUGUGUUCCUCGGCGCGAUCAGGAUUGAAUAACCAACGAUAGAACUGGUGUUGUAGAAAGUCUCCGUGGCUAAGCAAUCUGGAAAUAUACUAUACCACAUCCAUCCAAGGGAAACAGUCGCACCUCAGCAGUCGAGAGAGGUGCGUGUUUUCUGUCGGUGCUCUGCAGAUUGAGGAGAGGUUUAUUGCACGGUUGGAAGGAAACUGCAUGAACCAGAAACAGAAUUGAAAUCAUCGUACCACUCGCACCGCAGAUAUCACGUCAUCGCCACCCACCCUGAUCCGUCGCCGUGAGCCACAUAAACCUUAUAAACUUCAUAAAACCGCAAGUAGAAGCAUGUGACGUCACAUUUAGAUUUAAAAUAAGUAUUCAGAAGAACCUUAUAUAGGAUAGUUAAUUUAUUCCAAAAGAUUAUUAUAUUGUUGUUUGU